This 369-nucleotide ribosomal RNA is filed under the name Pyrenula quassiicola. RNAcentral's name for it is "partial small subunit ribosomal RNA". Lineage: Eukaryota; Fungi; Ascomycota; Eurotiomycetes; Pyrenulales; Pyrenulaceae. The record is from RNAcentral.
AAGUCGUAACAAGGUUUCCAUAUGGAGCAUAUCAGAUCCUUUCGGAGGAAUCGUCUGCUGAAACCUUAGCGAGCCCUGUUAUUCAGGGCUGACCGUACGACUAUAAAUAAGACGGGUCCUUGGUUAAAGGUAUUAAGUAUCUUAACUAAGUUGCUGGUCAGCUUCACCGCUGGCAACACCCUUAGUCUGCAGGAAUACUCUCAAGAGCAACCUGCAGCUAUGCUUUCUGCGGCAUACCGUUAGAUAGUAUGGCUCACAGGCUAAAUAGUGGUGGAUGCUGUCACAAGAUGGUAUUUCAGAUAUAGUCGCGUCCCGGGAAUAUUGAUACCGAGACUGUGUUCCGUAGGUGAACCUGCGGAAGGAUCAUUA